Benincasa hispida (wax gourd) is the source of this 1171-nucleotide non-coding RNA. Lineage: Eukaryota; Viridiplantae; Streptophyta; Magnoliopsida; Cucurbitales; Cucurbitaceae. The record is from RefSeq and is a predicted model, not a curated record.
UUGAAAGUCUUUAAGAAAAACAAGUGGUACUUGGAUAGUGGUUGCUCGGGCACAUGAUGGGAGACCCAUCUAAGUUUGUCUUUCUCUCCAAAAGGAUGGAGGUCUUGUAACCUUUGGUGACAACAAGAAAGGAACAAUGGUAGGUCACACUAAUGAGGAGGUAGCCUUGGAGUAUUUAGCAUUCGAGCAUAUUGACGCAUCAUCCUUCAUGGGAGAUAAUUCAGAGUCUGGUUGUACGACUAAUAGGGCUGGACGCGAUACUCUCGAAACGUUACUUUGGAUAAAUAUAUGCAACAAUUUGGGAGAAUUCCUAUCGAGUUCGACCCUGUAUUGGAGAAAUCAAUUUGCAACAAUGCUACAAGGUUUAGCAUAGCCAUUGGUACUAAUGUUUGAGAAUCUUUUUCUAUUCGUUAUGGAUCAAGGAGAGAGAACCAUUUUAUGUUAGACUUGUCCAACCAACUGGUCAAUAAUUUCAUCAAUGAACAGAUGAAAAGUUUGUUCAAAGAGUAUAGGAGGGAACUACACAAACACUAUAAAAAAAAUAUGCAAAUCCUGAAGAAGUACCACACCCACCUAAUCGACUUAAAGACGACAUAGAAGAUUGGCACUUUUUAUGCAACAAGUUUGAAUCCACCAAAUGAAGAAAAGUGGCAAAAACUAAUCAAAGGAAUCGGUCAGCCCAAAAGUACCCUCAUACAGUUGGUUCUAAGACUUUCAUACUCAUAUGAGAAUCCACGAAAGGACCCGACAGUCAAACAAUGGACAUAAAGUGGAUUUAUUUAAACAAACACACUAUAAGAGUGACCAGCCGUUUUUAAUCAGACCGCUAAUGAUUCAUACAGUCAAACGGUCGAGCUGAGAGAAGCCUCCACCCAAGAAGGGUCUGAACCAAUAUCAGAAGAAGAAAUGUGCGAGCAGGUGUUGGCCACAGGAGUGGGCCUUGGUAGGACACCAAAAGGUAAAACAAUGAAAAAAGUAAAUCAUCAUCCAGUACAUCCUCAUCAAAAGUUAUAGAGGAGCAAAAACAAGAGAUAGAAGAGUUAAAUGCUAGACUGGCUAGAUUGGACGAACUAGAAACAAAAAGACAAUCUGAGAUGGAUGAUAUAAAAGCUAUGCUCUUAUAGCUCAUGAGAGAUAAAUCGAACUAUGUAUGAACUCUUAAAUUUUCGUA